This 1562-nucleotide ribosomal RNA is filed under the name Iguana iguana (Common green iguana). RNAcentral describes it as "16S ribosomal RNA". It matches the Rfam family "Bacterial large subunit ribosomal RNA". Lineage: Eukaryota; Metazoa; Chordata; Lepidosauria; Squamata; Iguanidae. The record is from RNAcentral.
ACCUUUUUGCACCCAAAAACUAGCCCAACUACUCACCCAGUCCCCCCCCCCCCAUAAAACAAACCAUUUGACACGGACCAGUAGAGGCGAUCAAACGUCAUAAUCUUGGCGCUAUAGACAGCAGUACCGCAAGGGAAACAUGAAAAAACAAUGAAAAACAAGUACAACACAGCAGAGACAAACACUCGUACCUCUUGCAUCACGAUCCAGCAAGAAAUAUACAAGCACGCCGCCACACAGCCUGUAUCCCCGAAUCCAAGUGAGCUACCAUCAGGUAGCCGUAAGAGCCAACCCGUCCCUGUAGCAAAAGGGUGGGACAAUCUGAUGGUAGCGGUGAAAAGCCUACCGAACUUGCUGAUAGCUGGUUGCCUGAUAAAUAAAUCUAAGUUUAACUUUAGGCCCCAACAGGAGACAGAACCCAACCUUUAAGCCUAAAAGCUAUUCAAUUGGGGUACAGCCCGAUUGAAACAGGAAACAACCUGAAGUAGAGAAACAGGAACCUCCCACCUUAACCGUAGACCUUAAAGCAGCCAACAAUAAACACUGCGUCACAGCAAACCAACCAAAAAUCCCAAAACCGCACCCAACUUCCUACUCCCCCACCAGGCCACUCUAUGAAAAACAUAGAAGAACUUAUGCUAGAACUAGUAACAAGAAACACUUCUCUCUGCACAACUGUAAAACAGCAAUGGAACAUCCACUGAAAAUUAACAGACACACAAUAACAACCCUCUUCCCACCAUAUUACACAAACUGUUAACCCAACACAGGAGUGCUCAAAAGAAAGAUUAAAAGCCUAAGAAGGAACUCAGCAAGCCCUAAUCCGACUGUUUACCAAAAACAUAGCCUUUAGCCCACACAAGUAUUAAAGGUAACGCCUGCCCAGUGACAUGUAAACGGCCGCGGUAUCCUAACCGUGCAAAGGUAGCGUAAUCACUUGUCUCCUAAAUAGAGACUAGUAUGAACGGCUAAACGAGGAUUAACCUGUCUCCUUAGACCAAUCAGUGAAACUGAUCUGCCAGUACAAAAGCUGACAUAACAACAUAAGACGAGAAGACCCUGUGGAGCUUUAAACUGACAGCCAAACCAAUAAACCCCCCCCCCGACCUCACCCAUGGCUAAAAGUCUUAAGUUGGGGCGACUUCGGAGCAGAACAAAACCUCCAAGCAACAGAACAUCCAUCUUUCCUGAGGCAAACACGCCAAAGCAAACAACAGACCCAGUACCACUGACCAUCGAACCAAGUUACCCCAGGGAUAACAGCGCUAUCUUCUUCAAGAGUCCCUAUCGACAAGAAGGUUUACGACCUCGAUGUUGGAUCAGGACACCCAAAUGGUGCAGCCGCUAUUAAAGGUUCGUUUGUUCAACGAUUAACAGUCCUACGUGAUCUGAGUUCAGACCGGAGCAAUCCAGGUCGGUUUCUAUCUAUGCCGCCGCUUUUUUCAGUACGAAAGGACCAAAAAAGCAGGACCCAUGCCACAAGCACGUCCUACUCACCCAGGGUUGAAACCCCCUCAAACCCAAACUGACAGCCCCAGCCCCCCGAAGAUCUACGCGAUCUA